Molecule: long non-coding RNA, 394 nt
Organism: Hevea brasiliensis (rubber tree)
Lineage: Eukaryota; Viridiplantae; Streptophyta; Magnoliopsida; Malpighiales; Euphorbiaceae
Exons: 2
Source: RefSeq, a predicted model, not a curated record
AAUUACUUGAUAAUUUCUCAAUGUCAGAUUCCCCCUGAUACCCACUUCUUUUCAUAAAAAAAUUUUCCUUCCAUUAUUCACUCGACACACCUCAUUUUCCUUCGAUUCUUCCCUCAAGCCGUUUAUCCCCUCAACUCGGCACUCGUUGGAGUCUCUUCUCGGCUCUCCUUCGUCUCAGCUAAGUUUCUAUUCAUGUGCUUAUUUAAUGCGUGAUUGGCUGGUGAAAAUUAAGAGAAUAAUUUUGUUCAUGUAAUGGGUUUGAAACAGAUUGCUUUGUGCAGUGUGCACUAUUGAUUAGAAAUGUAAUGCUUGUUUUUCUUUGUGUUCUUCAGAAUUGAUUAAAAUCCAUGUGUAAUCCUUAAUUUUGUUCUUCUGUGGAUCAAGAUUUUGAAAA